CAGCCGUAAACUAUGCUCGCUAGGUGUCAGGCAUGGCGCGACCGUGUCUGGUGCCGCAGGGAAGCCGUGAAGCGAGCCACCUGGGAAGUACGGCCGCAAGGCUGAAACUUAAAGGAAUUGGCGGGGGAGCACAACAACGGGUGGAGCCUGCGGUUUAAUUGGACUCAACGCCGGGAAGCUCACCGGAUAAGACAGCGGAAUGAUUGCCGGGCCGAAGACUCUGCAUGACUAGCUGAGAGGAGGUGCAUGGCGUAGACGUCU
This 261-nucleotide ribosomal RNA is filed under the name uncultured archaeon. RNAcentral describes it as "partial 16S ribosomal RNA". It matches the Rfam family "Archaeal small subunit ribosomal RNA", at positions 748 to 1009 of the family's 1478-position model. The record is from RNAcentral.